GCCUGAGCGGGGAUUUUUUUUAUAUAUAUCAAACUGCUGCUUACGUCUCAUUGCUUUGGGCAAUGAGACAGGAAAUGUCUGUCGUUUCACACCUCUAAACCCACUUACAGCGACGUGUAAGGCAACAGUGGCAAGUUCAGAAAAAGGACGACUUCCUCUCACCUCACGCUCACUUCUGUUACUGUUUGAGUUGUCCGUUUCCUGUAAAUCAAUUUAUGAUGAAACCAGAACAUCACAAGGGAAAGACAAGUUAAAUGAUUUUACAGGGGUUUAAUGGAAUAAUCUACAUUAGUAAAGCUCAGUUUUAUCAAUUACGAUAAAAAGUCGAUUUUUUAGUUACAGAUUUCAUUGUUGUGUGAGAGAGUGCAUGGAUUAACUGAUGUGAACAUCUGCUUAUGUUCUCGGCGUCUCGUGUGCUUCUUCUUCUUUCUCUUCACACAAAGUCGUAGAAGUUUUCAGACGUGUCACAGCUGGAUGUGAGGAUGGGACCCACUUUCCUCUGUGAGCUGGGCCUAUUCUAUGCUGUGCUAACUGUUAAACCCAGCUCGACCUUGUUCAUUGAAGAGACUGUUAGCUUCAAAUGUGACAUGAAGGAAGGAGAACACACUGACUGGGAAUACAAACUCAACAAGGAUGGUCGAGCCUUUAUCCAGUACAGCACAUACAAAAAUUACAGAAAACAAAUGAAGUCUCCCUCUGAUACUGGUAAAUACCAGUGCUCUGGUCAUAUGAAGAAAUCACAUUAUACAAAGAACAGUAAUACUGUCUCCCUAACUGUGCUGGCAGGUAAACCCAGGGCCACACUGACUCCAGGAUCAACUAU
Oreochromis aureus is the source of this 823-nucleotide long non-coding RNA. The record is from Ensembl. NCBI's taxonomy places the organism in Eukaryota, Metazoa, Chordata, Actinopteri, Cichliformes, Cichlidae.